ACCUACUACCUAAAUCUGUUCUUGCUUCCCUUCCAAUUGCAUAGAUUUCAUAUUGACAAUUAUUUCAUAUAUAUCACGUUGCUUCCCUUUAAUUCUGGAAGCUUUUGAAAUGUAUUCUCUGCACCUCUGCUGUUAUCUAGGCUCAGAUGGAGGCACUGCCCACCGGCAGCCCAUAGGCACUGUUGGAAAGGACUAUACACAGUGCUGCCUUUUGUAUGCGGAUGGGCAUGCACUCACUCGGUGUGCACAGAAAAGAGACCAUCACUGCAUUCCUUUGGGAGGGGUCCUGCCGCAUGCAACGACAAGGAUAAAAGC
This 315-nucleotide long non-coding RNA is filed under the name Fukomys damarensis (Damara mole-rat). Its description in RNAcentral is "lncRNA (ENSFDAG00000026240.1)". Lineage: Eukaryota; Metazoa; Chordata; Mammalia; Rodentia; Bathyergidae. The record is from RNAcentral.